RNAcentral lists this ribosomal RNA (440 nucleotides) under uncultured bacterium. Its description in RNAcentral is "partial 16S ribosomal RNA". It matches the Rfam family "Bacterial small subunit ribosomal RNA", at positions 338 to 795 of the family's 1533-position model. The record is from RNAcentral.
CCUACGGGAGGCAGCAGUGGGGGAUAUUGCACAAUGGGGGGAACCCUGAUGCAGCGACGCCGCGUGGGCGAAGAAGCGCCUCGGCGCGUAAAGCCCUGUCAGCAGGGAAGAAAAUGACGGUACCUGACGAAGAAGCCCCGGCUAACUACGUGCCAGCAGCCGCGGUAAUACGUAGGGGGCAAGCGUUUUCCGGAUUUACUGGGUGUAAAGGGGGCGCAGACGGCGAUGCAAGCCAGGAGUGAAAGCCCGGGGCCCAACCCCGGGACUGCUCUUGGAACUGCGUGGCUGGAGUGCAGGAGGGGCAGGCGGAAUUCCUGGUGUAGCGGUGAAAUGCGUAGAUAUCAGGAGGAACACCGGUGGCGAAGGCGGCCUGCUGGACUGCAACUGACGUUGAGGCCCGAAAGCGUGGGGAGCAAACAGGAUUAGAUACCCCAGUAGUC